RNAcentral lists this ribosomal RNA (497 nucleotides) under uncultured bacterium. Its description in RNAcentral is "partial 16S ribosomal RNA". It matches the Rfam family "Bacterial small subunit ribosomal RNA", at positions 28 to 507 of the family's 1533-position model. The record is from RNAcentral.
GAUGAACGCUGGCGGCGUGCCUAAUACAUGCAAGUCGAGCGAACGGACGAGAAGCUUGCUUCUCUGAUGUUAGCGGCGGACGGGUGAGUAAAACGUGGAUAACCUACCUAUAAGACUGGGAUAACUUCGGGAAACCGAAGCUAAUACCGGAUGAUAUUUUGAACCGCAUGGUUCAAAAGUGAAAGACGGUCUUGCUGUCACUUAUAGAUGGAUCCGCGCUGCAUUAGCUAGUUGGUAAGGUAACGGCUUACCAAGGCAACGAUGCAUAGCCGACCUGAGAGGGUGAUCGGCCACACUGGAACUGAGACACGGUCCAGACUCCUACGGGAGGCAGCAGUAGGGAAUCUUCCGCAAUGGGCGAAAGCCUGACGGAGCAACGCCGCGUGAGUGAUGAAGGUCUUCGGAUCGUAAAACUCUGUUAUUAGGGAAGAACAUAUGUGUAAGUAACUGUGCACAUCUUGACGGUACCUAAUCAGAAAGCCACGGCUAACUACGUG